AAAAAGACAAAUCCUGAUUUCCAUGCCCAACGUUUGACCGUCCGUCUUAUUUUAAAAAAAUAUGAAAAAAAUUAAAAAGACAAGUCACACAUAAAGUAUUAAUAAUAUUUUUUUAUUUAAAAGAAUUAUAAAAAAAUUUCAUACAAGACGGACAGUCAAAGUUGGACACGAAAAUAUAAGGUUUGUUUUUUU
This 192-nucleotide microRNA precursor is filed under the name Oryza barthii. Its description in RNAcentral is "MIR812 microRNA precursor family". It matches the Rfam family "MIR812 microRNA precursor family". Lineage: Eukaryota; Viridiplantae; Streptophyta; Magnoliopsida; Poales; Poaceae. The record is from Rfam by way of RNAcentral.